UGCGUAGGCGGUUGACUAAGUCUGGUGUAAAAUCCCACAGCUUAACUGUGGAGGGUCAUUGGAAACUGGUUAACUAGAGUACGGUAGAGGUAAGCGGAAUUCCAGGUGGAGCGGUAAAAUGCGUAGAUAUUUGGAGGAACACCGGUGGCGAAGGCGACUUACUGGGCCGGAACUGACGCUGAUGCACGAAAGCGUGGGGAGCAAACA
This 207-nucleotide ribosomal RNA is filed under the name uncultured bacterium. RNAcentral's name for it is "partial 16S ribosomal RNA". It matches the Rfam family "Bacterial small subunit ribosomal RNA", at positions 568 to 774 of the family's 1533-position model. The record is from RNAcentral.